AUUGAACGCUGGCGGCAUGCUUUACACAUGCAAGUCGAACGGCAGCGCGGGCUUCGGCCUGGCGGCGAGUGGCGAACGGAUGAGUAAUGCAUCGGAACGUGCCCAGUAGUGGGGGAUAGCCCGGCGAAAGCCGGAUUAAUACCGCAUACGACCUGAGGGUGAAAGCGGGGGACCGAAAGGCCUCGCGCUAUUGGAGCGGCCGAUGUCGGAUUAGCUAGUUGGUGGGGUAAAGGCUUACCAAGGCGACGAUCCGUAGCUGGUCUGAGAGGACGACCAGCCACACUGGGACUGAGACACGGCCCAGACUCCUACGGGAGGCAGCAGUGGGGAAUUUUGGACAAUGGGGGCAACCCUGAUCCAGCCAUGCCGCGUGCGGGAAGAAGGCCUUCGGGUUGUAAACCGCUUUUGUUCGGGAAGAAAUCCUCUGGGCUAAUACCCCGGGGGGAUGACGGUACCGGAAGAAUAAGCACCGGCUAACUACGUG
This 484-nucleotide ribosomal RNA is filed under the name uncultured bacterium. RNAcentral describes it as "partial 16S ribosomal RNA". It matches the Rfam family "Bacterial small subunit ribosomal RNA", at positions 29 to 507 of the family's 1533-position model. The record is from RNAcentral.